CUUGCUUUUCCUGAAGUAUCAAAGGUGCUUCGUACUAUCAAAGCAUUAAUAACCGUAGAGUCAAUUAGGAAAAGUUAGUUCAUUCGGGUAUGUGGGUUCCAAGUAAGGCGAGUUUGACUAGGUCACCAUUGACGGGAUUCUACGAAAGGAAGGUUGGGUUUGCAGGAUCCGUAUAAGGAAACAAUUGUAGAUAUUCACUAACACUUUGCGGGAAAGGUUUGAACAAGCCAAAUAAGAAAACAUCAACAAAUUUCAUGUUUUUUAGGAAGUCCAAGAGUAGUAUAAAAAUGGACCUUCAGCUCUCAUUCUAGACACAACUCAAAAAGCGAGGCAUAGAGAGAGAACAUAGCAAGAACGCAGUUUUAGAGAGGGAGUUUGGGAGAAGAUCGAGCAAAAAGGAUCACAUGAAUCUUCACCGGAAAAUGCAGUGAUGAUUAGUUAUUUGGACCGGAGUGCAGAACGAUGAAGACCAUUAGGACGGCGUAUUCAUAAACUUCAAAUUUUAUUGGGAGUUUUUACGAACCUUAUCAUUAUUGUCUACACUAUUUUACUUAAAAUUAUUAAUAAAGUCGCAGCAUUUACUUAAGUUUACUUGAUGAAAAAUUGUAUGAAUUUUACAUGAAUUUUACCUAGGAUUUUCGAGGCUCUUUAGAGAUUACCGAGUUUGUGUGUUUCAAUUUGGUAUUAGGGCGGGGUACGCCAGUUAGCUCUGUCCUGGCUGACCGAAUGUUUUUCGAAAUGGGAUUUAUGAGAACAUGUGGGAUGUACAGAUGAUGGUCCACAUUAGGAGGAACGUGAUUGCAGCAAAGGAUGGUCAAAUAGAGAAUGUAUAUGUGGCCAAUUGGAAAAAAACUGGUAUCGAUGGAGAAGCUGGUGUUGAGGGUGUUAAUGGUGUUGUGGGAGCUGCAGUAAAUGCUGCGAAUGAGAUGCCACCCCUACCACCAGAUUCCUCCCAUGAAUGCAACAAUGGCCAACAUGAUGUUGAUGAUAUAAGCGUUCUUUACGCAGAUGUUUCAACGCCUUCAAAUUCUGGGUGCAGCCUUGGUUCAAAGGAAGAAGGGGAAAAUGGGAGAAGCAAGGACCACCGCGGGCACCAAGCUAUUUGGACAUGAUGAACUAGAUGACGAAACUCAAGACAGGACAAUUUACUGGUGGGUGUAAGCUGAUAUAAGCAGACGAAUCGAGGAGUCGGUUGGAGUGUAUGCAUUCCCUGUAAAGGAACAAAAGAGACCUUGAAGUCUUUUUUUCUUGAAGGUGAUGCAUACCAGUGGUGGAAAGGAGUGCUUCACAAAGAUCCGACAAGGAUGCACAAUUGGGACUUGUUCAAAGAGGAGUUCACGAGGAAAUAUUUUCCAACCAAGGCCCGUAUUAAGUUGGAGACAGCAUUCCUCAAGCUUUUUCAAGAGACAAAAUCAGUGCGCGACUACGAGCAGGAGGUUAACCGGCUCAAAAGAUAUGCAAGAUGAGAGAUGGAUUAUGAGCAGCGUCAAACUGAAAGGUUAAUGUGUGGAAAUGAUGCCUGAACUUUUGACCAUGAUGCUGAGUAGAGAUUAUCAGACAGUUGGGGAAUUGGUCGAGAAAGUAGUUUCGGUUGAGAGUGGGGUGGCAAAGCAUGAACGUUCACAGAGGAACCAAGUGACACCGGGACUAAGAAAGUUCAGAACCAGGCGGUCAACACAGUGGUGGCUUCGUGUGGAAUGUGUAGUAGGAUUCAUUGCGGUGUGUCUCGUCAAGGUAUCGGUGGAUGCGUCAAGUGUAGAAGUAUGGAUCAUAAAAUUUGGGACUGCCAUGUUGGAGGCGCAGGGAACUGUUAUCGUUGUGGUGGUGCUGUACAUCUAGCUCUGAAUUGUGUAGCACCAUGUUAUGCACAACCAGCUCAUACUUGUGGUGAACGUCCAAAAUCUAGGGUAUCAACAACCACUACCUAAGAGACAAAACGUAGAACCAAGGGUGCACGUGAUGAGAGUGGAGGAUGGAGCAAACUCGGUCGAUGGUAAUUUCCGUUCCUUACACUCUUUUCUUUAUUUUUCGAAUGUCAUGCUUAGCAGAUGGAAUGCAUGAACACAAAAAGAAAACGUGAGCAUAACAACUGCACAUUUCGUCGUUAAUCAUCCAUUACAACGAUUUAACGUCGAUUACCGAAUCGUCAUUAGUAGCUCGUCGUAACCUAUCAAUUUUCGUAACUUUACGACAAUCACAAAAAAUAGUCGUAAGGUAGACGUAAUAUUACGUCCACUAUAUAGUCGUCAAAUGGUCGUAACAUAUAAUUGUUACAGUAUCAUAAAAAAUGUUGGAAAAAAAGUUACCAUGACGCAGCCUU
Raphanus sativus (radish) is the source of this 2320-nucleotide long non-coding RNA. RefSeq lists it as uncharacterized. Lineage: Eukaryota; Viridiplantae; Streptophyta; Magnoliopsida; Brassicales; Brassicaceae. The transcript is spliced from 3 exons. The record is from RefSeq and is a predicted model, not a curated record.